AAGCGUAAGAAGGAUCUCACCGGUAAUUUCAGCACCAACCGUGCUCGUUCGAUCAAUGUUAAUUCCCUAAAGCACCUUAGUUUUUGGUUUUUUUUUCCCAUCGAUAGUGAAUUUAUUUUUCAUAUUAUCUUUUUCAUGGUUAACCCUUCUUAGUUUUUUGUGAAAUAUUGGGAGGAAGGGUAUAGAAUUAAUAUUUGUAUUCCUAUCCAAAGUUUUGCCUGAUAUAUUAUCUUUCUCACGUUGAGGCUUCAUUGGCAGUCUGUUUUCAAAAUGAUUUGAUCCUUUACCAUUGAUUAAAAUAAUCUUGUUUUUUCGUUUUUGUUGCAGUCAUUACAAUCGGCCGCGCGGAGAGCAGGGACUAGUUGUGCAAAUUGUAAAACAACGACAACGACCUUAUGGAGGAGAAAUCAAAAUGGGGAACCUGUAUGCAAUGCGUGUGGCCUUUACUAUAAGCUACAUAAUGUGAACCGGCCUCUAACGAUGAAGAAGGAAGGGAUCCAAACUAGGAAUAGGAAAUUGUCAUCCAAGUCGAAGAAGAAGAAAGGGAGCGGGAGCACUGGAUGUCUGGCGCUGAGGGGUCAUGUCGGAUAUGAUCAAGCCACUGGACCCGAGCGGGAUGGGCGGCAUGGGAGGAAUGGGCGGAAUGGGCGGGGCGGGCGGGAAGGGCGGCUUCGGCGGCGGAUUUAGUCAACACCAUCACCUGAGCCCUUCCCUCCACAGUCACCCCAUGUCCCACUACAUGUACCAGGGUCACCACCAGGGCUUCGUCGCCCCCGGGCCCCCCGCCCCGCCCCCCGGAAUGCACCACCACCACCACCACCAUCUCACCGGCCUCGGCCUCGCCUCCACUUCCAAUGGAAUGGCAAGUUGGAGAUCUGAAUACACUUGAUAAACUGAUUUUAGGAGUUUGUCCUUAGAAGCCUAAAAAAGUGUGUCCGAAUGUCCGCUCGUUAUGGUGUGGUCGAGGCUCUAGCUGUUAUUGAGGAAUUUGAGGGGAGGACCUGAUGAUUACGCACAAUUUAAAUACGUUAUGCUUUAAAUUCAUCGUUCGAUAACGAUGGCGGAAUCCAAGAAUAACUCACUUUGUAGAUGCAUCAUUCUCGUUUAAAUGCGUUUACAAAGAGCUGUUUGUGGUUGGUAGUAGGUAGAUGGUUUGAUGAAGCCCUCCGAAAAUCAUAAUAGGAGAAUUAUAUGAUUGUAUUAUUUAAUCAAAGUGUGAUAUCAUAGUUUAAAUUUAUUAGUAGGGAAUUUAUUAUUACUUGGUGAUAUUCGUAAAUGUAUUUAAGGGGUUUGUUCUUCUUAGUUUAAUCGCCAGAGUAUGGAUAUCUGAUCAAAUUUAGAGUUCUGGCGCAGAGCCUAAACAUACUAGCUCACCUGCCAUGUGGCAUAACUAAACGUUUAUUUUUUCUCAUUAGUGGUAAAUGGAUGGAUAGGGGAGGAUGAAGUCAGGAUUCAUCUAUGAAUCACCACUAUUUUUCAUUUAACAAUUUAAUGCCUGGCUGCUAAGUAUUACAAUAUGUAAUUUUUUACCUCAGAAACAAGAGUGAUUCGUUGUUCUUCUUAGAGGGUUGCCGCUAAAUUCUCUUGCCUUGGGGUUCUUUUUUCAUUCUUUUAGACAGUAUGGAGUUUAGAUAUUUGUAAGAACGCAACAAAAUUUAUUGAAGUUUUAUACGAUACCAAACAUAUCUGUAUUCGGUACUUGAUAUUCCCUCCGAGUGUUUCUUUUGACCACGAGACACGAGUAUGUGAACAAGUUUUUGUUCUCUUUGAAGUAGAUCUUUUUCAAGAGGAGGCAUUUCAAGCUGCUUUUAUCUCACAACUUCCAUAAUAUUACUGCUACGCUUACGCAUGAUCGAUUAUUUUCAAAUCAGCAUUACAUGCAUCAUUAAAACGCAUGAAAGAUUUUUUCCCAACAACUUUUCUGCGUAUCAAGUGUGAGAGUUUUUUUGUUUUUUUAAAUACCAGAUGUCAAAAAAGAUUGACUUUAAUAAUUUUAAUGGCCUCCCAGGAAGUAUACAAUCAUAUUUUCCGAUCCUCUGUAGCUAGGUUAUACCAAAAAAGGCAGAAGUGUUCCUCAAUUGUUUUCAAAACUGUCCAAGACACAGGGUUUUAUAAUCUUUUUUGAGUUGGAAAGAGUCAAAAAGCCAUAAUACAUGGUCAGGGUAAAUAUUGACGGUGGGGUUUUGUCACAAUUUGAUCUCCAAAAUAUAAAACAGGCUAAAAUGAGUAGCUUUGGUUUUAUUUUGACACAUGUUGUAUACCCUCAAAUUGAUCAAUGUAAAAAAGGGAUAAGAAAAUCAUGAAAGUAUUCCAAUGGUAAAUAUUUUAAAGCUCUGCUGGUUUUAAAGAAAAUAUUUAAAAUUUAUAAUGGAAAAAUUGUUCAUUACAUUUUAACUGGAAUUUAUUAUAAAAAUGUUUAUUUUCUUAAUCAGUAAUUCAUAGAGUUUUGAUCUCAGAUUCCGUAUUAGAAUCACUUUCAUAAACAAAUAUGUCUGCGAAUGCACAGUCUACGUUUAUCAAUGCUUUUUUUCUUUCUUUUUUUUAAUAAAUUAAAUCCGACUUCGCUAUCGGGAUCGUCAAACGAUUUCAAUCAUCACAUCUUUUUAUGUAAUUCUUCAAAAUCUGAAACACAAUUCACAUUACCAAGUGUAAAUAGAAUAUGUAACAUAAGUUCAAUUAUUUGUUGUAUUAUAUUUAGCAAAUUGUAACAAAAUGUAAAAAUGUAUAUAGCUCUGUUUAGAGCAGUAAAUUUUCUAAAAUAAAAUGUAAGUAAUGUAAAUUAAUUGUGGAUCGAUUUAAACUUUGUAAAAGUGUUUUAUGUCGGUAAAAUUGCUCCCUCAAAUGUGUUAAGAGCUAUCAAAAAAGGUUUCCCAUUUUGUCUGCAAAUUUAUGUAAAGAAAUUUCGUCUGUGCUUAAGGCGGCCAGUUAAAUCCAGUGUAAAAUUAUAAUUUCAGUAUUAUGCAGGCGAUGCAGUCAUAUUUCAUUUUAAAAUUUAAAGUAUGCCAUUCCCUACAAGGGUGAACGUAAUUUGGGUCUUGAAAUGAGACUUAUGCGAAAGAUUAUUCAUUGAAACGUCUUCUUUUUCAAAUUUAAUUUUUUCCUUAUUUUUCUUCACGUCGUAUACUCGUCAAUUCUAAUUUAUUUUUUAUUUAAACAAAAAAGAAAUAUUCCUGAAUAAAGACUUCCUUUUUUAUGACAGUUUAUUCCCUAAAUUUGUUCAAUUUUAGACUGAUCCAAUAAUUUUUUAUUAGAUCCAACGAAGAAUUGUACCAAAAAUCUUACUAUACCUAAGCAUUUUGGACUCAAUCGAAGUACAACCGCCAUAAUUUAUUGAUAACUAAUCAUAUCUUAUGGUCAAAUGAUUUCAUAACUUAGAUGAGUUGUAUUCGCGUCAUCGAUCUCAUCAAGGCGGAGAAAUUUUCAAAGGAAAAGAAGAAAAGAAACAACCACUGUCAUUGAGAACUAACGGUUACACGUCCCAAAAGAAAAUCUCAACUAACAUGUACUAAAAAUGAAUGGAUAUGACAUUCAACUUAUUGUAUUUGAAAAUCUAGUCUGUGCUAUUGCUUCCUUUAAAACUUGCCCCGACAAACCUUGAAAAGCCUCAUUUAUAACGCUUCUUCUUUGUAAUAUUGGAACUAAGUUGUGAGUACAAAUUCAAGCGACAUUCAUCGUCUAUAUUUUUAUGUUUUCAAUCAAGUGAUUUUUUGACUCUCAUUAAGGCAGAUUUCAGUCAUAUGAACCGAACUUCGCUGUCUCGCAUCGCCCUAACUAUUUGGUUUGUCAAACUGAAAUUUCAGUUCACAUGACUAAAUUUUGUUCAUCAAUUCACUUUACCGCCGAAGUUCGGUUGCACAAACCAAAAGUUCGAUUUUCGUAAAUGAAUAGUUGAAGUGAUAUGGGGGGCACCGAACGUUCGGACCAUAUGCCCGAUCUUUUUUUCAGUGAGAGCAAAUUGGUUAUAUGAUUAGUGAUAUUGUGUUUAUGACCUUCAUAAUUUUAGAAAAAUUUUGAAAUAACGCGUAAACAGAGAGAUCACGAUACAUAAUCGUUUUCUCUUUUGAUUUUUCACUUCUCUAAAAUGAUAAUUAAUAUUUAUUUAAACAACCUAUUCGGAAUUCGUGCAAUAUUACAUUAAAUUAAGAAACAAAAACCCAUCUUAUUCUUGUACUUGAUUCUCAAAACCCUCAUUUUUUCCUUCCCAAUAAUUAUAUGGUUCCUUUAUCAACCAAUCAGUUUGUCAAUGGUUUGGAAACUCACUCAAACUGUUCUAUGCAAAGUGAAUUAGAAUGAAAAAAGCGGAAAAUGAUUUUUUAUCUGCACACUUUAAUCCUCAAAUGGACUGUGGUAUUAAGUUUUCCCAACUGAUCAUAUUAUACGGCAAAUUGCCUGAAAAACUCGGAUAUUCAGUGAUUGAUGUACCUAUUUUACUUAUGUAUAAGGACCAACGCCCACCUUUUUUUCUUUCUUAUGAAUUAAAACUGUAAUUAAAUUAUGUACAUAUUUAUAAAAUUGAUUUUAAUAAUGUGCAAAUUGAUGUACCUAAAAAGCUCUGACUUCUUUUCUCACAUCAACC
This 4576-nucleotide long non-coding RNA is filed under the name Bemisia tabaci. RNAcentral describes it as "lncRNA ENSSSA2NGG005416". Lineage: Eukaryota; Metazoa; Arthropoda; Insecta; Hemiptera; Aleyrodidae. The record is from RNAcentral.